AUUGAACGCUGGCGGAAUGCUUUACACAUGCAAGUCGAACGGCAGCACGGACUUCGGUCUGGUGGCGAGUGGCGAACGGGUGAGUAAUAUAUCGGAACGUGCCCAGUCGUGGGGGAUAACGUAGUGAAAAUUACGCUAAUACCGCAUACGAUCUAAGGAUGAAAGCGGGGGAUCGCAAGACCUCGCGCGAUUGGAGCGGCCGAUAUCAGAUUAGGUAGUUGGUAGGGUAAAGGCCUACCAAGCCAACGAUCUGUAGCUGGUCUGAGAGGACGGCCAGCCAGACUGGAACUGAGACGCGGUCCAGAGUCCUACGGGCGGCAGCAGUGGGGAAUUUUGGACAAUGGGCGCAAGCCUGAUCCAGCCAUUCCGCGUGCAGGAUGAAGGCCCUCGGGUUGUAAACUGCUUUUGUACAGAACGAAAAGGUUUCUACUAAUACUAGGAGCUCAUGACGGUACUGUAAGAAUAAGCACCGGCUAACUACGUGCCAGCCGCCGCAGUAA
RNAcentral lists this ribosomal RNA (500 nucleotides) under uncultured bacterium. RNAcentral describes it as "partial 16S ribosomal RNA". It matches the Rfam family "Bacterial small subunit ribosomal RNA", at positions 30 to 523 of the family's 1533-position model. The record is from RNAcentral.